This is a long non-coding RNA of Astatotilapia calliptera (eastern happy), 1368 nucleotides long. Lineage: Eukaryota; Metazoa; Chordata; Actinopteri; Cichliformes; Cichlidae. The record is from Ensembl.
GAAACAUAAAAAGAAACAAAAGCCAAAAUGGUAAAUAAACGUGCUAUUUAACUGAAAUAGUAUAGACUGAAGAGAAAAAAAGUGAGUAAUAUAUCAAAAUUACUUUGUUCAGAAUUUUUUGUAUGUUUUGAUGUCCCUGGGGAGUCUGAUCCUUCGGCCUGGUCUGUGUCCCGCAAAAGCUCCAGAGACCGUCCACAGGAAGCACAAAAAGGGGCGAAGAGGCAGAAGCUAACGCCACAAAACGGACAAAACAUUUUCCAUCUAUUUUUAAUGCAGCGAGCACGGUCAGGGUAAUGAGGAAGCGCUGUGAGGAGUGCGUUUCUCGACGUUUGUUUACAUCCCGAAUCACUUUUCUGAGCUAAAAAUAUGGAGUAAGCUUAAUCGUUGUGUCACUUCCGGUAUUUCAGACAAUCCCUUUCCGUCAAGGAUUUUUAAUUUGUUGCGGGGGUUUUGUAAUUUGUUGUGGGCUUUUUGUAAUUUGUUGUGGGCUUUUUGUAUUUUGUUGUGGGGGUUUUGUAUUUUGUUGUGGGGGUUUUGUAUUUUGUUGUGGGGGUUUUGUAUUUUGUUGUGGGCUUUUUGUAAUUUGUUGUGGGCUUUUUGUAUUUUGUUGUGGGCUUUUUGUAAUUUGUUGUGGGCUUUUUGUAAUUUGUUGUGGGCUUUUUGUAUUUUGUUGUGGGCUUUUUGUAUUUUGUUGUGGGCUUUUUGUAAUUUGUUGUGGGCUUUUUGUAAUUUGUUGUGGGCUUUUUGUAUUUUGUUGUGGGCUUUUUGUAAUUUGUUGUGGGCUUUUUGUAUUUUGUUGUGGGCUUUUUGUAUUUUGUUGUGGGGUUUUUGUAAUUUGUUGCGGUUUUUUAAUUUGUUGCGAUUUGCACUUCCCAGCCACCGUACUAAUGGCCUCUCAUAGUUUUUAUUAUCACUAUUUAUUGGUAGCAUGUUUUAGGCUACGUCCACAUGUACAUGGGCAUUUUUAAAAAAAACAAAACAAAAAAAACCAUCUUGUCCACAUGUGCAGUUUUGAAAAAAAUAUCUCCGUCCACAUGUAAACGUUAUAAAUGAAAUUUUGGGCAAUCAUAAGUCUAGAAGCCUGGGAGUUUUUAUAUUUUUGGAAAAGACAGCUAUUCUUGGUGUUACAGUCAACUGUCUGGGUGUUUGUUUCAGGCAGAACACUGAAGGUUGCAACGCUGCUAUUCCUGCAAUGAAAUAACACCACCACAUGUUGUAACAGGAAGAGCCCCCAUUUGAGGCAGGCCACAAAAUUUAGAAAAACAAAAAAUUUACAUUAUUGGGCAACAGGCAAAGAUGUUAUACAUUUAGACUAGACUAAAAGAUCCACGGAAACAAAGACUGAAUAACUUCACCACAAGUUGAGCC